RNAcentral lists this ribosomal RNA (468 nucleotides) under uncultured bacterium. RNAcentral describes it as "partial 16S ribosomal RNA". It matches the Rfam family "Bacterial small subunit ribosomal RNA", at positions 28 to 507 of the family's 1533-position model. The record is from RNAcentral.
GACGAACGCUGGCGGCGUGCUUAAUACAUGCAAGUCGAACGGAAAGGCCCUGCUUUUGUGGGGUGCUCGAGUGGCGAACGGGUGAGUAACACGUGAGUAACCUGCCCUUGACUUUGGGAUAACUUCAGGAAACUGGGGCUAAUACCGGAUAGGAGCUCCUGCUGCAUGGUGGGGGUUGGAAAGUUUCGGCGGUUGGGGAUGGACUCGCGGCUUAUCAGCUUGUUGGUGGGGUAGUGGCUUACCAAGGCUUUGACGGGUAGCCGGCCUGAGAGGGUGACCGGCCACAUUGGGACUGAGAUACGGCCCAGACGGCUACGGGAGGCAGCAGUGGGGAAUAUUGCACAAUGGGCGGAAGCCUGAUGCAGCAACGCCGCGUGCGGGAUGACGGCCUUCGGGUUGUAAACCGCUUUCGCCUGUGACGAAGCGUGAGUGACGGUAAUGGGUAAAGAAGCACCGGCUAACUACGUG